ACGAGAGGACCGGAGUGGACGUACCUCUGGUGUUCCAGUUAUCAUGCCAAUGGUAUUGCUGGGUAGCUAUGUACGGACGGGAUAACCGCUGAAAGCAUCUAAGCGGGAAGCCUCCUUCAAGAUUAGAUUUCCCGACCCUUUAAGGGUCCUCAAGGUCCGUUGAAGACGACGACGUUGAUAGGCGGGAUGUGGAAGUGCAGUAAUGCAUGGAGCUAACCCGUACUAAUUGACCGUGAGGCUUGACCCUAUAACACCCAAGAGUU
This 263-nucleotide ribosomal RNA is filed under the name Gammaproteobacteria bacterium. RNAcentral describes it as "partial 23S ribosomal RNA". It matches the Rfam family "Bacterial large subunit ribosomal RNA", at positions 2683 to 2925 of the family's 2925-position model. Lineage: Bacteria; Pseudomonadati; Pseudomonadota; Gammaproteobacteria. The record is from RNAcentral.